Non-coding RNA from Schistosoma rodhaini, 48 nucleotides. NCBI's taxonomy places the organism in Eukaryota, Metazoa, Platyhelminthes, Trematoda, Strigeidida, Schistosomatidae. The record is from Rfam.
AUCCAGCUGACCAGUCCCAGAUAGGACGGAACGCGCGUCAAACUGAAU